AACCGACAAACAACCACCCCCUUGCACUGAGCUGAGCCAAAUCCAAGUGGUGGGGUUCAACUCUCAGUUGGUCAGCAAAGGAAGGGGUCUGCGACAUCAAGAGAAAGCACGGGGGACAGCCAGAAGAUUUGCAGAGAGCAGAGUAGAGGCCAAGCCCUGGCAUCUCAAGGACUGGGAGAGAAGGAGGAAGCUAACUCAGCUUUUUGCUGCCAUCUGUGCCAGAUUUCUGGAUCGUCUCUGAAGGAAUCAUUGCCACUGGAGGCAAAGAAACUACAGUCCUUAUUCCUCCUGUGCAUCAGUAGAUAGAAACACAGGACUCAUAGAAUCGUAGAGUUGGAAGAGACCACAAGAGCCAUCCAGUCCAACCCCCUGCCAUGCAGGAAAUCACAAUCAAAGCAUCCCGGACAGAUGGCCAUCCAUGGGGUUUUCUGUAUAUCAUACUGACUCAUACUUCACAAACGCCAAAUGUUAGUUUUGAACUACUUGUUCUUAUAACUCCUUUUAAUGAUUUUGAGAGAUGACCUCAGUUUGGAAGGAGAGAGAGAUAUUUCAUGGUCCUGUUUUUCAGCUUCUUCCAGUAAGUGGGGUGACUUAGACUAUGGACCAAAAUCCAGCUUUCUAGGUAUUAUGAAAUGUUGAUGUUUCUGUCAUAAUAGCCAGGCGCAAGUGUUUGCCUGUGUUCUCUCUCUCUCUUCCCCCCUCAUAUACCAGUUCCCAAUAAUGCAAUGUGGUGUAGUGGUUAGGGUACAGUAUUGGGUUUAGAUAAGGGAGACUCAGGUCAUUUUUGCUCAGCCCUGACGUUCACUGAAGCCAAAGCAAGUCAACCUAACCUACCUCAUAAGAUUGCAAUGUGAAUAAAGAUAGUGAUGUUUAAAAUGGUGCUUUAUGCAGUAUACCUUAUUCAGUAUAGGUAUAUCUACACUGCAUAAUUAUAGCAGUUUUGUACUGCUUUAAUGGCCAUGGCUCCAGCCUCUGGAAUCCUGGGAGUUAUAGUGUGGUCAGGAACUUAGAACCCAUUGGUAGGGCAGCUCCACGGCAUUCCAUUGAAGUGCAGCAAAGAAUUCUAAGCACCUCACUAAACUAUAAAUCCAAUAGGAUUCCACAGGAUAUU
Long non-coding RNA from Sceloporus undulatus (fence lizard), 1111 nucleotides. RefSeq lists it as uncharacterized. The record is from RefSeq and is a predicted model, not a curated record. NCBI's taxonomy places the organism in Eukaryota, Metazoa, Chordata, Lepidosauria, Squamata, Phrynosomatidae. The transcript is spliced from 3 exons.